UACGGAGGGUCCAAGCGUUAUCCGGAUUUAUUGGGUUUAAAGGGUCCGCAGGCGGGAGAAUAAGUCAGUGGUGAAAUCCUGUCGCUUAACGAUAGAACUGCCAUUGAUACUGUUUUUCUUGAGUAUAGAUGAAGUGGGCGGAAUGUGUCAUGUAGCGGUGAAAUGCAUAGAUAUGACACAGAACACCGAUUGCGAAGGCAGCUCACUAAACUAUAACUGACGCUCAUGGACGAAAGCGUGGGGAGCGAAC
Molecule: ribosomal RNA, 250 nt
Filed under: uncultured bacterium
Lineage: Bacteria
Description: partial 16S ribosomal RNA
Rfam family: Bacterial small subunit ribosomal RNA
Source: RNAcentral